This 483-nucleotide ribosomal RNA is filed under the name uncultured bacterium. RNAcentral describes it as "partial 16S ribosomal RNA". It matches the Rfam family "Bacterial small subunit ribosomal RNA", at positions 30 to 507 of the family's 1533-position model. The record is from RNAcentral.
AUUGAACGCUGGCGGCAGGCCUAACACAUGCAAGUCGAGCGGAUGAAGGGAGCUUGCUCCUGGAUUCAGCGGCGGACGGGUGAGUAAUGCCUAGGAAUCUGCCUGGUAGUGGGGGAUAACGUCCGGAAACGGGCGCUAAUACCGCAUACGUCCUGAGGAGAAAGUGGGGGAUCUUCGGACCUCACGCUAUCAGAUGAGCCUAGGUCGGAUUAGCUAGUUGGUGGGGUAAAGGCCUACCAAGGCGACGAUCCGUAACUGGUCUGAGAGGAUGAUCAGUCACACUGGAACUGAGACACGGUCCAGACUCCUACGGGAGGCAGCAGUGGGGAAUAUUGGACAAAGGGCGAAAGCCUGAUCCAGCCAUGCCGCGUGUGUGAAGAAGGUCUUCGGAUUGUAAAGCACUUUAAGUUGGGAGGAAGGGCAGUAAGUUAAUACCUUGCUGUUUUGACGUUACCAACAGAAUAAGCACCGGCUAACUUCGUG